Molecule: ribosomal RNA, 253 nt
Filed under: uncultured bacterium
Lineage: Bacteria
Description: partial 16S ribosomal RNA
Rfam family: Bacterial small subunit ribosomal RNA
Source: RNAcentral
UACGUAGGGACCGAGCGUUGUCCGGAAUCAUUGGGCGUAAAGAGCGUGUAGGCGGCCACUUAAGUCCUGCGUGAAAUCUUGCGGCUCAACCGCAAGCGGUCGUGGGAAACUGGGUGGCUAGAGUGCGGGAGAGGAGAGUGGAAUUCCUGGUGUAGCGGUGGAAUGCGCAGAUAUCGGGAAGAACACCCGUGGCGAAGGCGGCUCUCUGGGACGGUACUGACGCUGAGACGCGAAAGCGUGGGGAGCGAACAGG